Molecule: unclassified non-coding RNA, 254 nt
Filed under: Hevea brasiliensis (rubber tree)
Lineage: Eukaryota; Viridiplantae; Streptophyta; Magnoliopsida; Malpighiales; Euphorbiaceae
Source: RNAcentral
CUCUCUCUCUCUCUCUCUCUCGAUAUAACAAUAGAUGCAAAUAACUAUAAUGUACAUCAAUGAACUGUUUAACAGGCCUAAAGUUUCAAUUAAUCAGUGAUUAGUUAAAGAAGUAGAUUUCUUCAACUACAAAAUACUCUAAAUCUUUUUGUAUUUUUAUUUGAGAAUUUCUUCAUUACCUUUUUCUUUAAAAAUAUUCAUCUCGACAAUCCCAUUUUUUCUGACUUUAUACCUUAAUGUUGGAUAUUGAACAG